Molecule: long non-coding RNA, 4643 nt
Filed under: Anas zonorhyncha (Eastern spot-billed duck)
Lineage: Eukaryota; Metazoa; Chordata; Aves; Anseriformes; Anatidae
Description: lncRNA (ENSAZOG00000007834.1)
Source: RNAcentral
AUGGCUCCCGGCGCGGGGGGCGCUCCCCCUGGCGGCCGCCCCCCCUGCCUUGCCCCGACCUUCCUCCACCUCCUCCUCCUCCUCCUCCUCCUCCUCCUCCUCCUCCUGCUGCCCCCAGCGGCCCGGGAGGAACUGAACGGGCGCCGCACAGGAAGUAGCGGCUGCGGGGAGCAGUGGUGGUGGCGGUGGAGGAGGAGGAGGAGGAGGCAGAGGCAGCAGCAGCAGCAGCAGCAUCAGGGGCUGCGGCGCUCCAUGAGCCCAGGCUCCCGCAGCCGCCCGGCCCCGCUCGUCCCCGGCACUCAGCGCCCAAGCCCGGGGGCUGGAGCUUCCCGAGGAGAAGGAGGAGGAGGAGGAGGGAGGCAGGCAAAUGAGAAAGCAAAUCUCUUGAAACAUAAGCAGUGGUACUUCCCUGGAGGGAGGAGAUGGGAAUUCUCCUGUUACUCUGAGAGUUGCCAGGUGCCAGAAGUGGUCCACAGUGGUGGUGUCUCUCAUGCAUAAAAGGUGACAGCAAAAGUGGAAGGCUGAUGAGACCCCACUGACACAGCAAGAGGACAGUUUUUCAGGGUAAGAUUUUAAAACCCCGAAGCGUCUAGUGUCAGAUGUUGACAUUUUAAUGAUGAUCUCCAUGAUACCCUGCCCUCUUUGUGGGCUAUUAAUAGCUUUUUUAUAGGAAAGUAAUUUACUCCUGGUGAUUUUGCACACACAUGCAGCGUUGCUUUAGUAUUUUAAAAUGUUUCAAGGUCUAUUAUAGGAUGAGUCUUUUGCCACAAAACUUUAAUCNNNNNNNNNNUGGGUAGUACAGUUAGGUGAGUUUGCUGAGUUGAAAACCUUCAGAGCAGCUUGUUUUAAAAUUGUGUAAAUAUAAACUGAAGUCUUGUUGGCUUCCAUAGUGCAAUAGUGAUGCAGUGCAAGGUCUUCAAAGGCAAAUAUUCAAGGGUCAGUCUGCGGUUGAUGUAAUGAGACACAUAUACUUUUAACUUGUAAAAGCCUAUAGUGUAGAAGUAGGGAUUUUCCAAACCUUGUGGCAAGUUGCAAACUGAAGUAAUCUGCACUGCAUCAAUUUGGUAAUAACCUGACUCUGACUGAACUUAUUCACUUGAUGUCAGCGUGUGCAGUGAGACGUUUCUGGUUCAGUUUCAUGCUGUGGAGUCCCUUUCUUGUCUUUUGUUUAUUCUGAGAUUAGAGAGCUGUCGAUGCAUAGGUAAUGCCAGUUGGAAAAAAGCUUGGAGAGUAUGGCUGAGUGAUGAGAUACGCCUCUUGUAGAUAGGGGUUAUCUGGAAAGAAGAUUGUGUCCUUCAAGGUCAGAGGAGAGAAGCUUGAAGUUUAUAUACAGGGGUAAGUAUUUUAUCAGCGUCUUUCCCCUAAUACCCCAAGUUUUCCUGUUAUGCUAUAUUAAGAAAUUUAGCACAACUCAAACUUCUAAAAUAGCUGUGGCUGGGUAACAGGUACCUUUCUAGAGCAGGAAAUUGAAAUACUAUUAGCCUCAAAAUAUAUUAGCGGAUUUUUUGAUGAUAUAAGACCCUGUCUUAAUUUAUUUUCUUUCUUUUUUUUUAAUGAAAGCUUACUACAACUAGGAAUAGCUUCCUUGACACAGUCUGCUUUUCCUGUCUAUCAGAAGUAUCUCUUUCCCACACAAAUAACCCACGCCUUUGAUAAUCUGUAUCCUGCCCUUGAAAACAAAUUCUUAGCUAAUUUGCAUAAGAUCAGAGGCAUGAUGAUAUUGAGGUAGAAUAAACACUUUGGAGGUAAUGGGACCUGAGUCUUGUGGGCAAGAAAGUGACAACUCUAAGGAAACAGAAUAAGGAAGAGAGAAGUAAUCUCUUAUUGCUUGAAUAUUGCCCAAGAUGCUACUGUUGCUGCUGACUUGAGAUUUAGAUGAAGUAUCUUGUGUCCUGGAGCUGGAGGUAGUGCUUUCAUUUUGCUUUUAAUAGCUAUCCCAGAAGGUUUGUUGAAUUUUUUUUUUUUUUUUUUUGGGGGGGAGGGGGCAGAGGUAGGAGGGAGGAGUCUUGUACUGGCUUACACCAUUCAAAAUACUUCAAGUUAGUAGUUCUUAAGUGCAAGACUAAGGUGUUGCAUCAAAAUAAAAUGACAGAAGGGUUAGGCUCAGGAGUUUGCUUUGUUUUUUUUUUGUUUGUUUUUUUUNNNNNNNNNNGGGAGGAGUCUUGUACUGGCUUACACCAUUCAAAAUACUUCAAGUUAGUAGUUCUUAAGUGCAAGACUAAGGUGUUGCAUCAAAAUAAAAUGACAGAAGGGUUAGGCUCAGGAGUUUGCUUUGUUUUUUUUUUGUUUGUUUUUUUUUUUUUAAGCACCUCUUCGUAACUGAGAAAAUGUUAUUCUGUGUGUACUCAUAACCCUGAGGCAAGUAUGGUUGAAUGGGUGGUGUGACAUGCAUGUUGCAGUGCUCAUCAAGCUAAGAUUCAUAAAGCAGGCUUUCCAGUAGAAUAUGUUUCCUGGUAAUGCUUCAUCAGGGAUGGUGUUUUUUAUGUUUUUCUCUCCAGUGAGAGACAAAGGAAUAAAUAUAGAACAACUCAGGUGCUAAAAAUAUCCACAUGCAUUGACGUCUACUUCUUUUUUUUUUUUUUUUUCUUUAAAAUAGACCUUUUGGCUAUUUAGCAAGAUGCUUCAUAUCUGCUCAGAAUCAUUCUGGCUGCAGUGAUUUUUGAGGGAGAGACAAAUCAGCUGAUCUUAGAGAAUAGUUUAUCUUGGUUUGAUUUAAGAUUGCAAUGUGGGAAUAGACCAGACGCUAAAGAAGAGACUUGGUGUGGGUAAUGGCACGAGAAGUUAGUUUAAUCACUGUAGCUGUAGAAUAUGGCCAUUUACAAUCUCAGAGAUUAAAAGACUGCUCAGCUCUUGUGUUUAUGGAAAAAAAGAUACUAAAUAUCUCAGUCAAACACUGAGAUACAUGAUAGAUCUCAAUGAAAAGAUGGUCCCUUGAUAGGAAAACUGCUUGUACUGAAUGGCUUCAGAUACAGUCUAAAUUCUGGCCUCCUUUUAAGUGUGAGAUGAGGAGAUGAAUAAUCUUCCAAAAGAUCUCUAAUCUUAGAAGCUGAGAUUUUUCAGAGCAGGAGAACGAUAUACGUGAAAUGGAUUUUGAAGUCAUUCUCAGUUUGCAGAUGAUCUGCUGCAGACACGGUUCCUUGCACAUAGUUUUCCACUGGGUACAUUUCGAAUAGCCUUUAGAGAUCUGCGUUCUGAGAACAAACUGGUGAAUCAAUUAAUGUAUUUAAAUUAGUUGAAAAUUAGACUAUUGCUUCAGUGUCCUGCCAGGCAGGACUUCAGAAUUUAUUAAUUCGGCCUCACGUUCCUUUAUUUACAAGCGGUGCCUACGUUUCAGUGUCCAGAAGCACUGAGAUCAGCCAGAGCAGGUGCAUGCUGCUCCUCCUACUGCUGCCAAAGGGGAUGCUGCUCGGGGAGGAAGGGUCGAGGCUUUUUGGCAUCUUGCAGGUGUGCAGCAGCUGCUAGUUUAGAGCACAGGGAGUCAGAGGGAGCCCAGGAGGUGUCAGCCCUCCUUCCUGACAGAUGUUAGCCUGGCCUGCUUGUAAAGGCUUCUGGCAACUGCCUCCCAAUACGUGAUGUGAUUUUGCGUCACCAUCUUUCCUCCAUGAAAAUAAGUUUCUUUAAAGCCAGCCUGGCACGGCUGUGGGGGAGCAAGUUGUUCCUGCAGCCCCCUGGGUGUUUCAAACCAUGACCAUGUCCUGGCCAUCACCAUCCCUUCACCGCUGUGCCUCUGCCUCCCCAUUGCCGCCGCUGCGGCCACUUCUCCCUUUCCAAUUUAACAGCAGCUCAGAUGUAAAUCAGGGUUUAGGCGUUAAAAAUAGCUGGCACCUGCUCCAGCCAUGCUCAGCCGGGGUGAGCUGGGGCACUGCUGCUGCCUGUGCCAGCCAUGGGGCUGGCGGGAGGGCUGAGGUGAGGCCUUCUCCACCCACCGCCAGUGGGGCAGCCCCGGCCCCUCAGAGGGCCCUGCAUCACCCGCUGGCAGGCUCAUCAGCUGCACUCGUGGAUGAUUAAUAAAAUACUCGUUUUCUGUCUCUGCAGCUGUGUUCUCUUCUAUUUAAGUUAUUUUCCUCUGCUUUUAACUUCAAAAAAAAAAAAAGUUUACUCUUGCUCAGUUUGGCCAAGUCCAAAGUCCAAGCUAGGACAAUGUAAAGAUAAUGCAUCCUAUUAGGAAUUACCUUAUUAUUUCAUAUUAUAAUUAGCUCAAGCUCCAUCAGCCUUCUGGAAAUCUUAUUUAUGUAUUUCUGAUUAACUAGAAAUACUAUAAAGAUAGUAAUAAAAAAAUUCCCAUGUGUAAACAAGGUGGUGGUGGGGGGGACACUAGUUCAAAGGCUGAGGGCACAUAUUUUUCUGGAGCAGAUAACACUAGGCUGUGGCAUGUAGCUCUGUUAAAGAUGUGCAUUUGGAAAAGAAAAAGAAAAAAAAUCUUGGCCACUUCUUCUUGGAAAGGAAUAUGUGGAAUAUAUCUGACUUCUUGAGAUCCUGAAGAGCUGAUGCAUGUAAAAUUAUCGUCUCCUUCACUGCAAUAACUUCGCCCGUAACAGAGAAGAGCACUUUUUUCUCAGAAUACAGCUGUAUUUAACUGUACUUCCCUAGUCUGUGCUAUUGAGUGAGACAUGACAGCUAACGCAGCUAGUUUCACUGUUGCC